RNAcentral lists this long non-coding RNA (421 nucleotides) under Olea europaea subsp. europaea. Lineage: Eukaryota; Viridiplantae; Streptophyta; Magnoliopsida; Lamiales; Oleaceae. The record is from RNAcentral.
GGAAAAUGAAAAUGCAAACCAACCACUACCUUAAUCUUUUUUUUUUUUCUUUUUUUGAUAACGCAGGUGUCGGGACUUCGCUCGAUUAAUCUUAAGGAGUAGCGACUUUCCCCCCUUGUUCACCACACGGGUAAAUUGGAUGCGGUCACAGCUUAUACAUACUUGGGUCGGAUAUUCGAAAUUCAAUUCUCCUUCCUAUGGACCCCCUUUACGACGUGAGGAUGAGACUCCUAGAGGGACGACAGAGCGUACCAUAAUGCUUGGGGAAGGGAGGGGAGAUCUUACUGUUGCUUAGAGUAGCCCAAGUACUUACAUGUGGAUUGUUGUAUUCAUUUUUAAGUAAUAUGCAAAUUUACCUUAAUACCAGUAUUAUUAUUGUACUCGAGCAUAGAAUGAAAAAGAUUUUAAUAUCUUUUCUUAA